UACAGAGGGUGCGAGCGUUGUUCGGAAUUACUGGGCGUAAAGCGCGCGCAGGCGGCCUUUUAAGUCUGACGGUGAAAUGCCGGGGCUCAACCCCGUGCCCGCCGCGGAUACUGGGAGGCUGGAGACAUGUAGAGGCAAGCGGAAUUCCGGGUGUAGUGGUGGAAUGCGUAGAGAUCCGGAGGAACACCAGUGGCGAAGGCGACUUCCUGGCCUGUUCUUGACGCUGAGGCGCGAAAGCUAGGGGAGCAAACGGG
This 254-nucleotide ribosomal RNA is filed under the name uncultured bacterium. Its description in RNAcentral is "partial 16S ribosomal RNA". It matches the Rfam family "Bacterial small subunit ribosomal RNA", at positions 524 to 776 of the family's 1533-position model. The record is from RNAcentral.